AGUUUUCCCUAUCGCGGGGACGGCGGAGUCAGUGCCGUCGCUCCUCGCGGUAGUUCUAUCGAAAGCCAGGAGGGCGGGCGCCACGGACGGCGCAUU
RNAcentral lists this small RNA (96 nucleotides) under Xanthomonas campestris. Its description in RNAcentral is "sRNA sX7". It matches the Rfam family "Xanthomonas sRNA sX7". The record is from RNAcentral. RNAcentral also lists the same sequence under 3 other names. Lineage: Bacteria; Pseudomonadati; Pseudomonadota; Gammaproteobacteria; Lysobacterales; Lysobacteraceae.